This 611-nucleotide unclassified non-coding RNA is filed under the name Hevea brasiliensis (rubber tree). Lineage: Eukaryota; Viridiplantae; Streptophyta; Magnoliopsida; Malpighiales; Euphorbiaceae. The record is from RNAcentral.
GCCAACUCAUCAUGUCACUCAUGGAGGGGGACAAUCAACUUGGCAGCCUCCUGAUUGGGCUAUUGAGCCACGUCGAGGCGUUUAUUAUCUUGAUGUGAUCAAAGACGGGGAGGUACUUGAUCGAAUUAAUUUGGAUAAGCGAAGGCAUAUCUUUGGACGACAGUUUCACACUUGUGAUUUUGUCCUUGAUCAUCAGUCAGUCUCACGCCAGCACGCUGCUGUGGUUCCUCACAAAAAUGGAAGCAUUUAUGUGAUUGAUUUAGGAUCUGCACAUGGAACAUUUGUUGCUAAUGAGAGGCUAACAAAGGAUUCCCCUGUCGAGCUCGAGACUGGACAAUCUUUGAAGUUUGCUGCAUCAACAAGGACUUACAUCUUGAGAAAGAACAAUGAAGCUCUCUUCCCUCCUGCACGACUACCUGCAGAAAUAGAUUUACCACCAGUUCCAGAUCCUUCAGAUGAGGAAGCUGUUUUGGCUUAUAACACCUUUUUAAACCGCUAUGGACUUACUAGGCCUGAUUCAUUGUCAAAAUCAACAGUAUCAACUAGUGAGAAGGAUGCCAAUCAUUCAUCUGAGAGGCCUACAAAAAGAAUUAGGAGAAGAAGUGUGUCAU